Molecule: unclassified non-coding RNA, 327 nt
Filed under: soil metagenome
Description: partial contains 5.8S ribosomal RNA, internal transcribed spacer 2, and large subunit ribosomal RNA
Rfam family: 5.8S ribosomal RNA (bases 1-120)
Source: RNAcentral
GAUGAAGAACGUAGCGAAAUGCGUUAAGUAAUGUGAAUUGCAGAAUUCAGUGAAUCAUCGAAUCUUUGAACGCACAUUGCGCCCCUUGGUAUUCCGGGGGGCAUGCCUGUUCGAGCGUCAUUAUAACCCCUCAAGCUCAGCUUGGUGUUGGGGCCUGCCAACUGGCAGCCCUUAAAAUCAGUGGCGGCGCCAUCUGGCUCUAAGCGUAGUAAUUUCUCUCGCUAUAGGGUCCCGGUGGAUGCUGGCCAGCAACCCCCAAUUUUCUAUGGUUGACCUCGGAUCAGGUAGGGAUACCCGCUGAACUUAAGCAUAUCAAUAAGCGGAGGA